UAUGAAGAACGCAGCGAAAUGCGAUAAGUAAUGUGAAUUGCAGAAUUCAGUGAAUCAUCGAAUCUUUGAACGCACAUUGCGCCCGCUGGUAUUCCGGCGGGCAUGCCUGUUCGAGCGUCAUUUCAACCCUCAAGCUCUCCGGAGUUUGGUGUUGGGGCGCCUGGGGCUUUUCGACCUCAGGGCCCUCAAGUCCAUCGGCGGGACCGCCAGGACACUGAGCGCAGUAGUAUUAUUUCGCUCGGUAGGAUCUUCCACGGCGGGUCGAUCUGGCCGCUAAACCCCCCAAUUCUCACCAAAGGUUGACCUCGGAUCAGGUAGGAAUACCCGCUGAACUUAAGCAUAUCAAUAAGCGGAGGA
Molecule: unclassified non-coding RNA, 357 nt
Filed under: soil metagenome
Description: partial contains 5.8S ribosomal RNA, internal transcribed spacer 2, and large subunit ribosomal RNA
Rfam family: 5.8S ribosomal RNA (bases 2-120)
Source: RNAcentral